This 15385-nucleotide long non-coding RNA is filed under the name Coffea arabica (coffee). RNAcentral's name for it is "long non-coding RNA (CARA_LNC002525)". The record is from RNAcentral. Lineage: Eukaryota; Viridiplantae; Streptophyta; Magnoliopsida; Gentianales; Rubiaceae.
UCGGGGGUCCUGUCCAGUGCGAGCUGCUUGUGCUUCUCUUUUCAUGCGAUUUACAUCCUCACUUUGGAUGCUCUUGUCUACUCGGUGCUAGAUUUCUCGAAGUGUUCGAGGAUACUCCCAAUAUAUCUCAGUGCUGAACGCACCUAUUAUUAACCCAUUUGUAAAAGUAACUAUGGUCACCUGCUCAUUUUGAUUGAGUAUUUGCACGUUUUCAUCGUGGAACCUUUGCACGUAUGAGUAGAGGGAUUCCUCCGGAAUUUGUUGUAUAUUUAGCAGGUAGGCCGAGAUUUUUGUCACGGGCAGAGAUAACACGAAACGGUGGAUAAACUUAUCCACAAGCUCUCUCAGGGAGGAUAUGCUCCUAGGUUCUAAGUUCUAGAACCAUUUUCGAGCAGUUUCUUGUAGGAAAACAGGAAAGGCUCGGCAAAUUAUAGAAUCGGGAAUACAAUAUAGCCGGAAGGCAGAAAUGAAGGUAUGGAGGUGGUCCUCCGGAUCAUCUCGCCCACCAUAGGGCGACAGCACUAGAAGUUUGAAGUUGGGGGCAACUAUUUUCCUAUUUAUAUCGUCGGUGAAAGGUGGAGCCCUCAUGUAAUUGACUGCCAGCCCCUCUGGGUGCCGAGGUGGCUCCUCAGUUCGUCUUCCUAGCAAACCCCAGGAAAACGCUUUGGAAAUGGAGGCAAUCUUGGAUGUGGAAUUGCACGAGGCACGUUUUGAGGUUCUCCGGACAUGAUGUCUGUCAUCGGAGUCCUCUUCGGAAGGCAUCUCAGGUGAUUUCGCUGGCCUCCUCUUGGAAGACUCGACUUUUUCUUUAUCUUGCCUUUUAAAGUAUCUUCCUAACUCUUCGAAGAUGUUCAAAUUUUCUGCUACAAACUCAGCCAUGUGGGCGAUGGCUUCUUCGUUUGUAGGUUGGGUCCUCAGGGACCCUGGUUCUUCAGAGAUGUUAUCGUGCUGGGCGGCUGGGCUCGGCUCAGCUCCGAUGGGGGGAACCCUCCUAUUCCUAGAGCUCGUAGAUUUCAUAUCUUAAGAGUAUCUUUGAUUCUCACAAACAGCGCCAAUUGAAGAGAUGAUUUCUAGUUAGGUAGCCGAACUAUCCUAAGUUGGUUCCCUCUUAAGCGAGAUGAGUUUUUGUGGUAGACUUCUGGACCAAAGUAAUAGGCGGGGCUUUGUCUCCUGGGAUCAUUCCGACGAUCAAAUCAGUUUAGUGAGAGAAAAUAAGAACAAUAAUAGAUUUGAAUGUAACAGUACUCUUACUUGUAUUGGAGGAAGGAGGUGGUAUUUAUAGGAUACCAGAUGGAGGGAAGGACAGCAGGUUUAAGUCUGUGGACCCCCACAACCUGUACUUUACGGCUCUGUCUUGCAUAUUACGGCUCUGUCCUGACACGCAGCAGUGGCUCAGGCUUCCUGUCAUGCAGGCACGUGAUUUCUCGAAAAAGUGUGACCAUGUGGCUUCCCGAUAAAGUACCCUUUACUAUUAACCUGUUAGUCGAAAUGAUAAGGGAUGAGCUGGUUCUGACAUCUGCGCGGAGGCGAGAUGACUGAUGUCGCCCAAAGGCUCGGUGUAGUCAGAUGCGGGAGUUGAGAUGACCUCGGGCCGAGAUGAGGGAAAUGACUAGGCUCGGAUUUGUAGUUCGAGAUAGACGAACCGAGGUGACCGUCCUCAGUGCCAAAAGCGAUGCCUGAAACUUAUGUUUUUCCUCCAGAUAGGAGACCAGGGAAGCAUAUUCCAAGCUGCAAAGAUAGUCCAACCAUUGACCUCAAGAAAGCUGCAGGGCUUGAACGCACUGAAGUCAUUGAGCAGAUUAUGAAAGCAAGCCAAGAAUUUUUGGAUUCUUUCAUGUUCGUAGUGCUGGUUAUGUUUGAACUAAAAAAUUAGAUAUAAUUCUUGAUGAUGAUUGUCUAAAAGCAUUAUUUGGAAUGCAUUAUCAAUCUUGCUAAAUGCUGUUAAUACAGGUCAAUAAUCAUGAAGUUUCUGAAGGCUUAAUGGAGGAGACAAUGAGUGUUAUUCAGUUCUUUAGGCUGCCAGGUGAGUAUAAGGCUAGCUUUCACUCCAAUGACAUCAAUCAAAGCAACAGAAUCUUCUCAAGCACUCUAAAUUAUCAAAAAGAAGGUUUUCACUAUUGGAGGGAUAACUUAACACAUUCUUGCAUCCUCUGGAGGAUUAUAUUCAAUUUUGGCCUGAAAAGACUACCAGAUGUCAACCAAAGCUGUUGCAGGUUAUAUUGAGACAUAAUUAGAUGGAACUAAGAAGGUUUCGAUGGUUUUUUGAACUUCUAUGUUUGUUACCAUGGUUCAAAGACUCGGCCGAGUCGUCACUAGAAUGGGGCUCCCUGUUUCGAUGUCGAAAUGAUAUAAUUUCGAGAUAUCUGAAUCACCAAAAACUAGACUGAGAAAUUGGUCGAGAAGUCGCCGAUAUAGAUAGAAAAGGCCGAGUCAUACCGAGUCACCCCGAGUCAAUUCGAAUUCAACUAAAAAACAAUAAAAAAAAGCAAGAGAAAAAAAGGAUGAAAUUGCUGGGUGGGCUUGAUUCUUGGUUUGAACUGUUUCACAAAAACAAGUCCGAGAACCCGAAAGAAACAUUUGGAAACAUGUUAUUCAAAUAAUAGACAAUAAGCAAAGUGCGGUUAUUAUCUGUGCGUGUGUAUGCAAGUUGAGGCAAAACAGCAAAAGAUUGCACAAACCAUGAAGAUUACAGUUUUUAGUUUCUGGAAGAAGACAAAUGUUAUUUAGGUGCCCCUACAAGUUUAGCCUGAAUAUUUUCAAGCAUCUUUUCCAGCCUUACAAGAGAGAGAGGAAUCGACUAUAUUACUGAUUCUCUUCAAAUACAUCAAAUGGGGAUUCCACAUCCUACAAACGUAAAAUGUGAGUUCAAAAAUAUGACACGCCCCACAUUGAUGAAGAUCCUACAGAUGUUUUUGACAUGUAAUUAAUUGGAAACUUCUUGAGUUUUCGUCUAGAGCGGAUAGAGUUGGACUAAAUCAGAUGCUUAGAAAUGGUAUAUCUCCUAAUGUACAAGAUUAUGACACAAGAACUGCCCUUCAUCUUGCUGCCAGCGAGGGCCGUGCCUCCAUUGUUAAGCUUCUUUUGGCCUACAAUGCUCAAGUACCACUACAGGAAAAAUACGCUUUUUGUGACGCUUUUGCUGCGGCAGAGGGAGAAAGUGCUGCAAAUAAGCAGCGCAUGACAGGUUGUCAGCCUGUGCAAUAAUAAAAACCUGCUCAACUAAAAGUAAUUUUUGUAGAUAGGGGUAAAUAGGGUCGAAUCUAUAGGGACUGGGAGUAAUUGCUUCUUUUCAAAUUCACAAUAACCAGGGGGGUAUUUUUGUGUAGAAGACGACAAACAAAGAAAUUCAAAUAAAAUCUAAGAAACUAUUAAAAAUUAAAUAACAAUUUACUAAAAUCAAAUGAGUGAUAAUUAAUGAUCUAGCCAAGAAAUAACUUCAGCAAUGGUUCGCCCAAUUGAUCAUUGAAACAAAGGCAAUUCCAAAUAUUUACUAAUAAAUAGGUUAUAACUGCCAAACAAGCGAUGACAGUCAACCCCUCCUUACUGUGUCGGUGAUUAAGGUACGCUCGUUAAUCACUACUCUAAUUGAGAAAUAAUUCUAGGUACGCCCAUAAAAUUUAAUUCCCCAAUUGCCUUACGUAUUAGAGGAGCCCUAUUCUAACCAAAUAACACACUACCAGGGUUAUUUUAGAUUAGCCCGCGUAUUUCCCUGACACAAACCCAAUCAUGCCAGUUAUCACUAUUUUGAGACAAUUAAACAAUUACGAAUUUAACGUCCCAAUUGACAAUAGAUUAUCAAAUUAACUAAUUAUCCGGAUCCAAGACAAUCAAUUAAUUAAACAAUCAUAAGCACUGUAACCAGGGAAUAUUCGAAUACCAAUAAAUAAAAGAAAAAGGUAAAAUUAAAUCGAUUUCACAAUUUUAGACAAGCCAAAGUAUCCAUUGCUCAUUGACUAGAAAAAUGGAUUUAGCUCAUUCCUGACAAGAGAGACCCACGCAAAAUUGAGGCAACGCGCGCGGCCAUCGCUUUCGUUUGGGAGAACCCAAUUCGUUCGAAUAAAUGAAAGGAAGAGCAAGCUACAACAAUUGAUUCAAUUGUUUCUGAUUGUCUAGGCAUGCGAGAAGAAAACUACACCAAGAUGGGAAAUGGAAAAGUCAAAGUGAAACAACUACAGAGAUUCAAUCAAUUCUCCAUUUGUUCCUAACAUCCACGAGGGAAGAAAGAAAACUACUAAGAGGCCCCACUAAAAAUGAAGAAGAAAAGUCAAAAGCUCCCUAAGUAGUGCUUGUCCUCUGCAUCUUCCAUUCUUUCUAUUCUAAGUCUACUCUAAUGCCUGGCCACCGUGCGGCGGCUCCCCCCGAGAGGAAGAAGAAGUUCCAGCCCUUCGUUCCUUUUCCUCUUUUAUGCUAUCUUCAGCCAAAUUACCAAGAAGGGUCGCGGCUUGAUAUUCCAAAAAUGGCCCUGGAUGCCUACUAUUUGAACUCUUUCCUGAUAACUGUGAAAUUGGCACUUGUUAUGGUAUUUUCGUUCUACUCCCUGAAAUAUAUGCCAAAUACUAAAAGUGAGUAGAAUCCAACAAUUAAUCCACAUUAGGUCAGGUAGUAGGGAAAAUUAAUAAUAAAAUAAAUGAUAAAAUUGUAACUUAUCAAUUCCCCCCACACCUAAACCAUACUUGUUCUCAAACAUGAGAACAGUAAACAAGCACCAAUAUUUGACAAUGGUCAUUGCUCCAUCUACCAUAUUGCCAAAUACCAAGAAAAUCAUAUAUCAAGUAUCAGUGAUCAAAAUCCGAGAAACAUCACCCAGGUUAGCCUCUAAACCACAAACUCCUCCAAUUUCAGGUUAACUAAUCUAAGAAAAAGGAAUGAUGCGCAACAUUUAUCAGCAAAUGGUCCAACUAUUAACCAAAAUCUCAACAUUAAAUCCAUAAAUCGGCAAGCUGACCUUUAUUAUACACUAACACAACUUUCACUUUUUUAUUACAUUUUUCUACUUUUCUUUUUAUUUUUUAUUUUUCUCUUUUUUUUUUUUUUGCUUUUCUCAAUAGUAACAAAAGACUUAGUCGCUAGCCAUUGGAGCCUUUUGACGCGAACUCUGACAUUUGUUAGAUGAAAGAGCCCGAUUACUCAGUUUCUAUCGCCACAUGACCACGCACUCAUAGCAAUUACUACUUUUUGACGCGAGAAUCGACACUUUUGGUGAAAAUCCCCGGUUACUCGGUAGUAAAUACUAGCGGAGUACAGUCAACUCUUAUUCACAGCCAAAUAACACCAAAAAUUCAAAAUAACACAAAAAUCAAAAGAAAAUUUGCAGCUACUAGCCUCAUUUUUAAAUAUAAAGAACUAAGGUUAAUAACCGGACCAAUUCACAUGAAAAUGCCAACAGUCAUUCCCUAUGCCUAGGAAAGUUAACCAAAAAUUAUAAAAGUCACACAUUCAUCGAUAUUCACCACAGAGAUAUUCUUAGAUUCAACCACCUCCACUUGAUACACUUCCAUUACUAAAACUUGGCAAUAGCAGAAAUAGAGGCAACAAUCCAACAUCAAACUUGGCAUCACAUACGAGCUAAUCACUAAAAAGAAAAAAAAGAAAAUGAACGAAAGAUGGACAAAUAACAAACUAAAAAGAAAGAAAGAAAAAAUCUAAAAACUCAAAACUAAAGACACUAGCACCAUAACUGCUCCCCCUAUACCUAAAUCCUACAUUGUCCUUAAUGGAGGUAAUAAAGUAAUUAAAGCGAAGAGAACAAUGAAACUUCCCUGUUGAAUAGCUAAGGAAUAGGAGGGAACAGUGGAAUGAAACCGAUGUGAUGGAAGUACGUGGCCAAGUUCUGAGACAUCUCAACUCAAUUCAACCAGCAAAUGCAAAACUCUGUUCACCCAAAAUCUCAACAAAUUCUCCAAUUGGACAGUGGAUAUCUCAACUCAAAAUCGGCAAUUCCCGCAAUAGCAGUUUAGAAAUUUGACAAUAAUAACUCAAUUACAAACUCUCAGCUAUCAGUUAGACAACCAACCCAAUAGAAGCAACAAAAUCAAGGCCAAUUACCCCAACCAGUACCCACUGGUGUGCCACACAGUUAAUGUAAAAUCUUAAACGGUCAACCCAAAUCACUUGAUAUCCCAACCAAUAGCAAACGGCACCAGAAAUAAGAAGGAAUCAAAAUGGCAACCACCGUGCACAGAACUCCCAAACAAUUCCCAAAUAAUAGGUGUCAAAAACAAGCAAAUCAAUCCCACUAGUGCAAUACAGGGCAACCAAGUAAGCAAGGUCAACAAGAAAUUAAAAUAACGAUAGUCCAGAAAAUGAUGUCCCAGAAAAUGAACUAGCGAUUGGGAGCAUACAAUACCUCUACCUGUCAAAAAUUUGACAAGUAGCGACGGUGCGCACGGCAACGGAAAGAGGAGAGGUGGUGGAGCACAAACGUCACAAGAGGGAGAAGAGCCCGGCGUGCGUCACGGUUGGAGAAGGGGGCGCGCGACAGAGGGGGGCUCUGCAGCUGCAAAUGCUUGCUGGGUACGCGCGAUGGUGGGUGAUGGAGGCGGACGCGAGGCUUGGAGGUGCGGCGAGCUGUGGAUGGAGACGGUGGCGGUGAACAGCGUUGCGUGGUGCUCGUGGCUACUGGUGGCGCACUGGCGUGCACGUCGAUGGCGAUGGAGGGCUAGACUCGGCGGCGCUGGUGGAAGGCGUGUAGCGCGACACUGGUCGCGCGAGGUGGUGGCGAUGGAGUUCGUAUGGAGUGGCGGCGGUGAAGGCUUUCGGCCAAAAGAUUGAAGAAGGAAAGGGAAACAGGGGCAGUGGGGGAGAAGAGGAAGAAAAGGGAAAGAAAGAAAGAAAGAAAAAGAAAGAAAAGAAAGAAAGAGAAGGAAAGAAAGAAAAACAAAAUAGUUUGUUUUUUUUUUCAAAUUUUUUUUUUGACGUUUUGGUUUUUUUUAUUAUUAAAUAAAAAUUUGCACUUUGGAAAUCUAAGCUAUGGUGAAUAAAAAAUUUUAAAUUUUUUUAAAAAUUAAUUUUUACUUAAUUUUUUUUUGAAUUUUUUUCUUUUUUUUUUUGCAAAUUUUAUUUUCGAAAUUCAAAUUAGAGAUUAACAGAGAAUCAAUAACCGUUUUUGAGUUUUUUGAUUACUUACCUUUCCCGCGAACGUGACGUCGGCACGUAACGGAGGCACGGAAUGAGGAGCUUUCCGGCUGACUUGACGCGGGCACGUCAUGAGGGUAAGAACCCUUUCUGACAAUCUAACCAUGAGCUCUUCAUGGGACUUGAUGCGGGCACGUCAUGAGAAUCGAAACCCUUUUUACUAAGCACUAAUCGCACUGUGCCACGCGGCCAGUUGAAGCGGGCGUGUCAUGUCAGAGGGAUACCUACGAAUCAUCAAAAACGAAAAUUGAAACCAGAAAUUAAUCAAACUCAAGAAAAACAUAUUUAAACUAUCAAACAAAAGCGAACAAAUGACUAAAAAAAAUUGGGUUGCCUCCCAAUGAGCGCCUUUCUUUAAUGUUUUUGGCUAGACAUUGUCAUGUUUGUUUAGGGAGGAUAAAAUCUUGUGGCUCGUUUCAAUGUUUCAUCCUCUAUAUAGUCCUGAUAGCCCUCAUAAAUAGAGUAAUCUUUGGGCACACGAGUUACGGGCUUCCAUGGACUAGUAAAUGGCGCUAAACAAGCCAACGAUAAUUUGUAUUCUCCAUUCACUCCCCCCUCACUUGCAUUUAUUGGUUCAAUAUAUCUUGCCAUCGCCACUCUUAAUUUAUUCCUGUCAUGUAAUUCAAAAUUUUCUGGUAUAAUAAAGUCAAUUUCAUUAACAGGAAUUGAAGAAUAAGAGUCAGGAGGAUAUUGAUUAAGGAAUGGAAGAGAUGUCACCGCAUCUGGAGAUUGUUUACUGGAUUCAUUCACUUGGAUGAGUUGAUACUGGGGUCUCAUUUCUUGCACUUCAGCUUCCUUUUCAAUUGCAUCUUUAGAUCUGUUUUCUUGAAACUCUUGCAGUUCCAUGUUAUUUGGCGGGAUAAUUGCACUCUCAUCUUCCUCAAGGUUGAUGUUGGUCUGUGAGGGCAAUUCUUCAAGGUGAGAAACUAAUCGCGUUAUCUUAGAUGUCAAUUGAUGCAUUUGAUCCGCCAUCCCUUGUAUCUCCUGCUGAAAUCAAUAUGUAUUAACAGCUAGUAAUUCAAUUAUUUUUUCAAGAGAUAUACCUGACAUUGAUGAUGGUUGUUGAGACUCUUGCUGUUGAAAAUCCAUUGGCCCGGUCGCACAAUUAAAAUUGGAAUUAUCCCACCAUCCUUGAUCAUACCUGUUAGGUAAGGAUCAUACCACGUUUGAAAUCGAGGUGAAAAAUCUCCAAAAGUAUCAAUUGGAACACUUAGAUUAUCUUGAAAUGCGGGGCAUGUGUUGGUUGAAUAACUUGAGGCAAAAUAAGUUCCACAAUUUGCAACAGCCCAUUGAUCAUUAGGAAAAACACGAGUCUCAUAACCCCAUUGAGGAAUAAAGUCCAAUCUAUCAUCAAAAUACGGAAUGUUAGCAGCCAUAAACUAUAUAAAAAAAUAAGAGAAAAAUAAACAAAAAAUAAAAACAAGAUGAACUAAAAAAGAAACAAAUUAAUCUGGUACCAGUCCCCGGCAACGGCGCAAAAAAUUGACAGGUUGUCAGCCUGUGCAAUAAUAAAAAAAAUCUACUCAACUAAAAGUAAUUUCUGUAGAUAGGGGUAAGUAGGGUCGAAUCCACAGGGAUUGGGAGUAAUUGAUUCUUUUCAAAUUCACAAUAACCAGGGGGUAUUUUUGUGCAGAAGACGACAAACAAAGAAAUUCAAAUAAAAUCUAAGAAACUACUAAAAAUUAAAUAACAAUUUACUAAAAUCAAAUGAGUGAUAAUUAAGGAUCUAAUUAAGGAAUAAUUUCAGCAAUGGUUCACCUAAUUGAUCAUUAAAACAAAGGCAAUUCAAAUUAUUUACUAAUAAAUAUGCUAUAACUGCCAAACAAGCGAUGACAAUCAACCCCUCCUUACUGUGUCGGUGAUUAAGGUACGCCUGUUAAUCACUGCUCUAAUUAAGAAAUAAUUCUAGGUACGCCCGUAAAAUUUAAUUCCCCAAUUGCCUUACGUAUUAGAAGAGCUCUAUUCUAACCAAAUAACACACUACCAGGGUUAUUUUAGAUUAGCCCGUGUAUUCCCUGAUACAAACCCAAUCAUGCCAGUUAUCACUAUUUUGAGACAAUUAAACAAUUACGGAUUUAACGUCCCAAUUGACAAUAGAUUAUCAAAUUAACUAAUUAUCCGGAUCCAAGACAAUCAAUUAAUUAAACAAUCAUAAGCACUGUAACCAGGGAAUAUGCGAAUACCAAUAAAUAAAAGAAAAAGGUAAAAUUAAAUCAAUUUCACAAUUUUAGACAAGCCAAAGUAUCCAUUGCUCAUUGACUAGAAAAAGGGAUUUAGCUCAUUCCUGACAAGGGAGACCCACGCAAAAUUGAGGCAACGCGCGCGGCCAUCGCUUUCGUUUGGGAGAACCCAAUUCGUUCGAAUAAAUGAAAGGAAGAGCAAGCUACAACAAUUGAUUCAAUUGUUUCUGAUUGUCUAGGCAUGCGAGAAGAAAACUACACCAAGAUGGGAAAUGGAAAAGUCAAAGUGAAACCACUACAGAGAUUCAUUCAAUUCUCCAUUUGUUCCUAACAUCCACGAGGGAAGAAAGAAAACUACUAAGAGGCCCCACUAAAAAUGAAGAAGAAAAGUCAAAAGCUCCCUAAGUAGUGCUUGUCCUCUGCAUCUUCCAUUCUUUCUAUUCUAAGUCUACUCUAAUGCCUGGCCACCGUGCGGCGGCUCCCCCCGAGAGGAAGAAGAAGUUCCAGCCCUUCGUUCCUUUUCCUCUUUUAUGCUAUCUUCCGCCAAAUUACCAAGAAGGCCACGGCUUGAUAUUCCAAAAAUGGUCUUGGAUGCCUACUAUUUGAACUCUUUCCUGAUAACUGUCAAAUUGGCAUUUAUUAUGGUAUUUUCGUUAUACUUCCUAAAAUAUAUGCCAAAUACUAAAACUGAAUAGAAUCCAACAAUUAAUCCACAUCGGGUCAGAUAAUAGGAAAAAUUAAUAAUAAAAUAAAUAAUAAAAUUGUAACCUAUCAACACAUUUCAAAUUGUCAUAUUGUGUUGCAAAGUUGACAGGGGCUCAUAAUUUUUUUGGCAAAACUACGUAGUUUUAAUAAAGCCAGAAAAAGGUCAAAAGAAGAAAAGAGGAAAAACCGGGCUCUUUGGCUUUCCAUUAUAUCCUUCGUUCUCCCGAUGAAUUAUUCCCUCUCUCUUUCAAACCUAUUUCCACCUCCUCAAUUUUCCUCGCAAUAUGGCCAACAAAUAUGCAGUAACCACCUUCAUCUAUGAGAUACAGAGGAAAUCCGGAAGAAUAGAAAGAUUGAUUGCUGAUCGGCUGCAGCGCCUGAAGCAAGGGUUUAACGCAAGGAAGAUGAAGGACCUCCUCGAUUUUCACUCUCAGCAGUUGAAAUCGAUUCCCAAUUGCAGUGUUUCUUCCUUGUUGUAUCUCUCUUUGUUCCUCUUCUUCUUUGUCUCUCCAAUUCUAAAAACCAUCACAUUCUCAAAGGAAUAUGGUAAAAAUUGUACCUAGCGAUAGUUUUAUCUCAAUUUUGUGUUUGAUUCUUAGGUUUAAUAACUCCUAGCAUGAUUUUGAGAAGUUAAAUUUGUUUUCAAUUUUAGGUAAUUUUGCCAAAAGUGAUUAAAUUGGCUUUCACUAGCUAGAUUUGCUUCAAUUAAUUUUGAUCAUCGGUGAAGUAAUUAAUAGCUUUGAGAGAACUUACCCAACAAUUUUGCGAGCUAUUCUGGUUCAAAAGCAAGGUAAUUAAGCUCAAUUCCUUUUGCAAUUUUUUUCACUUUACUCAUUUGUUUUAUGGUAUAAUCAGAGAAUUUAUUACAUGCCCUUAGUGCUUGGGAGUUUAUAGACUUUUAUGGUUAUUUUUAUGUAAUUUUUGCAAUUCUUUAGAAUAUUUAUAAUGUGACUUAAUGGGGGAUAAUGGUGUUUUAGUUUCAAAAGUUGGACUGCACUGCAUUUUAAUCUCCAAUUUUGUGAUUUAUCUAUUUUUCUAGUUGUCAAAGGAAAAUGUUUUUUUUAUUCAAAUAGUGGAUAGAAAUAUGUAGGAGUUGAUACUCUACAUUUUAUGUUUAGUUUCAUAGUAAUUGAGUAACUUUUUUCGUGUUGAGUUUUGGUACAGUCAAUUUUAGGUGGACAAACGCAUUCUAGUUCAAGUUUUAAAACUCUUUUUUUUUUUUUUUUAAAGUUUCUUCUCUUGAGACCUCUUCUAGCAUCCAAAUUAUGAUUAUGAAAACUAAUUAAUGUUUAAUUUGUAUAUAUUGCUGUUGAAAUGGAAGGGUUCUAAUUGUCCUGUAUUUUCUGGUUCUGAUUUUCUGUGUUAAAAAUUUUAUGAUUUUUGGUCUUGCACAGAAUUUGGCAGAUGUGAAGGGACUGGAUUAGGAGAAAGAAGAAAGUUCUACAACAUUUGAUUCUCAACUUUACAGAUGGAAAAUAUGUUCAAGAUAUGAGUCAAUUAUGAGAUUGGAAUUCUUUUUCAAGUCCUUUUUUCUACUCUUUCAUGAACUUACCUGCUUUUCUAUGCUUGAUUCGAAUAAUAGCUAUGAGUCCCUGGAAAAGCUGUAGCGCCGAAAAAUACCAGAGAUAAUUUUUCCAUUAUUAUUUGCUGCUGUCCUUACUUUAAAUUAUGCGACGCUAGGCCACGGGAAUCAGGUCUCCGCUCAUUCAUAAUUCUUUUCUUGUAAGAGUUAAAAAAUGGCAAUCAGCUACUCCAUACAUACAGGCUUCUUGAUCAAAUGUUCAUGCUUUCUUUGUCUCUAUCAGAUGUCUUCAACAUUUGAGUAGGCUUGAUCUUGGGGAUCUUGAAAGAAUUGGCUACAGUUGUUAUUGUUUAGUUAUCUUUCAAGUUUUAGGUGAAAUUAGUUUAAUUUAAAACUAGGCAUCCUAAGCUUUCUUUUGGUGGGCCACUUGCUGCGAGUGGAGCUAAAAUGAGUGAGAUAUAAGGUUCUUGAUGUUAGGUAACGUCUUAUCCUGGUUCUAUCAUAGGAAUAGUUAAAUGAAAUGAUAUUGUGUAUACAUGCAAUGAUAAUCUAUUGCAUUUGUUUCAUGCUUAGCUUUAGCUUCAGAGAUUAAAUGCUUGGAAUGGUAAGAAUCACCCAAGUAAUGGUACAUGUCCUCUUUCUAUGAGAAUGCUUUCGAUUUUGUAUGUAAAUAAUUAUUUUGGCCUUCAGCACAAUUUUGUGUGUGGUCCAAGUACGUGCUAACAUUCCUUUUCAAUGAUUUCCUUCGAAAUCUGCUUUGGCAGGCCAUUUAUAAUCUGUUAACAAUAUAAUUUAUCAUCGCCAUAUGUUGUUAUGCUUAGUAUCUUCACUGUCUGUAGUUGUUCUUGUAGUUUUUUAAGCUCUGCCUUUUGUAUUCAGGCAUCUACUAUGCAUUAAAAAAUGGAAGUAACGUUUGAAAUUCUCUGUUAACUGCAGAGGCAGCAAAGCUAGUUACUCUUCCAAGUAAAGUGGAAUGCUUGAAUGGAUUGAAUGGAGUUUCCAUUAAGAUUGUCUCUUUGGGUUUUGAGCACUCAGUUGCUGUUAUAGGUUUAUAUCUGUAUUUCAAGUGUGUGGCAAAUACAGUAUUAUCUAAACACUGGCAGUCUUUAAUAGCAAGAUAUUUUUUUCCUUUGUCUUUCUUGUUAUGAUUCUAUGCUUUAUUGACCACUGGUUUGCUGUUAAUGUUUAGAUAAAAGGGAGGCCUUGAGUUGGGGUGGAGGAGCAUCUGGAAAACUUGGACAUGGUCAUGGAUCCAGCAUAUUGGAAUUUUGAAAAAGUAACAGGUUCUUUUAUGUGGUUAAGCAUGCUUUUUUGUUCACAGAAUGAAUUUUCUGGAUAAUUGUCUUGGAAGUUUAAACUGUUAUUUUUUUCUCUCUCUCUUACUUGACUGUCUUGUGAGAUGGCUUUUUACUUUUAAGUAGAAACAAAUGUAGGUUUUGGGAUAACUGAUCUCAAUAAUGAUUGAUAACUAUGCCUAUAUGUUCACAUUCGCCUCAUUUCAGUGUUUAGAAGGGAAUGACAUGAAUGGUUGACAUGGGAAGGGUGAGAUAUGAUAGAAUAAGAAAACCUCUUCAAGCUAUAAACAUUUUUGUCAAAAUAUCAUAGGUGAUUAGCAGAUUCACCACCUAAAAGUUUCAUACAUCUUUAUCACCUAGUAUUGUUAUGUAUUGUUAUUCCUCAAUAUGCCUUGUUAAAAUAUGCUUUCACCCUUGAAGAAUUUUGAGAUGGCUGCAGCAACAGAAGCUAUUAGCUUGAUUAUAUUGGGUUUUCUUUUAUGCAGUGAAUUCACUCCAUGACUGAUUAAGGAUCUGGAGGGAGUGAAGGUAGUGUAUAUGUCUAGUUUUGUACAAGUGUCUGUUUAGAUUCUCAAGAUCACGCUCACCGUGAGUUGGUCAAGGUAUUAAUUCUUUGAUCCUUGUCACUCUGUUUCUGGAGAAUAUAAUAGGUUACAAGUGUUGCUGCUGGGAUUUUGCAUUCUGCCUGCAUUGAUGGUAAACUAUUGACCUCUUGGAGAUGGUUUAUGAUUACAAACUCUGAAGAUUGGAAUUAAACUUUUUUGGACAGCUUUUUCAUUCCUGGGGUAUUGCAGAAAAUGGCUUUGUAUAAAUUUUUCGGGAAACAGCGAAGGCAAAGAUGGUAAGACUUGGAUUGCCACAAGAAAAUUAAUGUACACCUUUGUUUCCUUUAUUUUUUUCCCUAAACAAAAGCUGCAUUUUUUCUUCCAACUUUUGAAUCUGGUGCUGUUUGAUUUAGCAUAGUUUGUUAUAUGUUGCAUUUUUUUUCGGAGAAUGUGUUAUGUGUGGAAUUAAGGCUCUAGGAUUAUAACAGAAUGGAAAUGUAAAUCAAACAGACUCUGUAUUUUUAUUGAUAGUCAUUUGUACUCAAGAGUUAGAGAUUAGGCGGAAUUUUUGGUUGAUUAUCAAAGUUAUUAUUGGAAAAGUUCUCCUUUUUCUUUUUUCACUAACCAAAAGAGAUUGCUUCACUUUCAUUAAUGGUUUUAGAUAUAUGUGCUGACUUCUUACAAUGUAAUCACUGAAGUAUAUGUGUUCUGAACUUUUGCGGGAAUCGUCCAUGAUCUGAUUGCAAAGUGUGGAGUACAAUGGUAUAAGCUAGAUCAUGCUUUAGCUGCUAAUUAAAUCAGCUGACAAAAUUAGCUAGUGCCUAUGUGUAUUGAUGAAACCCUGAUACUGUGAUAUGAUGUUUACUUUGACAUGUAUUAUAACUAAUUUUUAGUUCUUUGGCUGCCAUUAAGAUAUCAAACUCUAUGUCAGGUCAAACUGCACGAUAUUAAUGGAAUAUCAAUUGUUGAUUGUUUGCUGCAAAUCAAAGAUAGUCCAGCCCUAUCCUGUUUUCAUAGCUUGAUAACUAUUUUAGCCUGGGACUUGGAGGAUUUUGAUGUGGAACAAGCUAAAUCAUGCCAUGCUUAGAGGAUUUUGGAGGAUAUUUAUGUGAUUCUAGUUGGUAUACUGCUUAUAUAUCUGACAGAAAUAAUUCAUAGAACCAUUUGAGGCUAACAUAUGCUAUAGGACUGCAUGUUUUAGAAGAAAAGCUGCUCUGUGGCCGAAGGAACUUUGUUUUCUUCAAUAUUCAACAGUAUUAGUAGCUGUCUCUUCUUAGCUGAAUUAAAUCUCUGCCGGAAGUCUUAGUUAAUAGUGCUUACUCUUCAUAUAUUUAUAUGGCUAGUUUAACUUGUCUUCAUGCGAGUCAGCAUGUUGAAGUCAGAAUAUGUUGCAGCUUAUGAGAAAAAUGUCGAGCUGAAAAAGUUGUUUCCAUUACACUUGUAUCAUUACAAGUACUAUCUCAUUUCCAUAUUCUUGCAAUUUUAUAUUUCUAGUCAUGGGCACUAAUAUGAUGCAAGCUGUUUUACUAGGGCAUAAUUGGGAAGGACUUAAUUAUGAUGCAUGCUGCUUCAAAAUGUAUUUGAAGACAUUUCAUGAACAAACCAUUAACAAAAUGUUUACUUAUACAGAAGGGAUAUCAUAAUAUUUAAACGUCAUGUUGGUUUUUUAGUCAUUUAGACCAAUGGAAAGUUAGUAGUGGCAUGCCUGAAACUUAUUUUGGAGUUCCAAAAUCAUUAGUAGUUCCAAAAUCAUUAGCCUUCAUUUUAUUAAAGUUCAAGGUUGUACUAGUAUCUUACAUGACCAUAUUUUUUGUGUUAUUUUAGGAUUUUGAGAUGUGAAGAUACUUUUGAGAGAUGUAUGAUGAAUUUGUGCUUUCCAAGACAAGUACUUCUUGGGAAAUAUGAAACAUCUUGUCAUUGAAGUAGACUAUUAUACAAGAAAGUUCAUCAUGUUUUUGUCAAAAAAUGAUAUGUGAUAAAGUUUGUAGAAUUUGACUGAAGUAG